Molecule: ribosomal RNA, 406 nt
Filed under: uncultured bacterium
Lineage: Bacteria
Description: partial 16S ribosomal RNA
Rfam family: Bacterial small subunit ribosomal RNA
Source: RNAcentral
AUUGAACGCUGGCGGCAGGCCUAACACAUGCAAGUCGAACGAGUGGCGGACGGGUGAGUAAUGUCUGGGAAACUGCCCGAUGGAGGGGGAUAACUACUGGAAACGGUAGCUAAUACCGCAUACCAUCGGAUGUGCCCAGAUGGGAUUAGCUAGUAGGUGGGGUAACGGCUCACCUAGGCGACGAUCCAUAGCUGGUCUGAGAGGAUGACCAGCCACACGGGAACGUAGACACGGGCCAGACUGCUACGGAGGGCAGCAGUGGGGAAUAUUGCACAAUGGGCGCAAGCCAGAUGCAGCCAGGCCGUGUGUAUGAAGAAGGCCUUCGGGUUGUAAAGUACUUUCAGCGAGGAGGCGUUACUCGCAGAAGAAGCACCGGCUAACGCCGUGCCAGCAGCCGCGGUAAUAC